This 265-nucleotide ribosomal RNA is filed under the name uncultured bacterium. RNAcentral's name for it is "partial 16S ribosomal RNA". It matches the Rfam family "Bacterial small subunit ribosomal RNA", at positions 88 to 354 of the family's 1533-position model. The record is from RNAcentral.
CCGGCGACCGGCGGACGGGUGCGUAACGCGUAUGUAACCUACCUUUGACAGGGGGAUAACAUCGAGAAAUUGGUACUAAUACCCCAUAACAUCACCGGAGGCAUCUUCGGUGGUUGAAAACUCAGGUGGUCAGAGAUGGACAUGCGUUGUAUUAGCUAGUUGGUGAGGUAACGGCUCACCAAGGCGACGAUACAUAGGGGGACUGAGAGGAAGGUCCCCCACAUUGGAACUGAGACACGGUCCAAACUCCUACGGAAGGCAGCAG